Molecule: non-coding RNA, 3828 nt
Organism: Nomia melanderi (Alkali bee)
Lineage: Eukaryota; Metazoa; Arthropoda; Insecta; Hymenoptera; Halictidae
Source: RefSeq, a predicted model, not a curated record
UGAACCGAACGGUCGUAAUGACAGAUUGCACCGAUUAGGAGAAAACUUCACAAAUAUUCCUAAUUUAUAGUUAAGCAAUGUAUCAAAUUCAGCUAUAUAUUACCGUCACAGCAUAUCCUGUAUUUUCGUGUUACCUUAUCGGGUCAUUCAGUAAUACUUGUUACUGUAUUCCGCUAGACACUCUAUACUGUGUAUUAAGAAAUGGCGACAGACCAGGAUCCAAAUGAUUCUGAAAUACGACUAUCAAGAUUUCUUUAUGUUGGGAAAGAAUAUCCAGAUUAUCAACCAGGAAAUUGGUUUGUCCACAACUACUUUUUGGCUAAAAAUGUUCCAUCCAUAGAAGAAUUAGCCGAGAAUACAGAGAAGCAAUUAGUUCCAAUUGAAAUAAUUACAAAGGCAUUUGAAAACAAUGUUGUUCCAAAUCCAGAAACAUUAAUAUUUGCUCUUGCUGUUUGCUGUAGGCAAAUGAAAAGUGAGAGUUUAAGACACGCAGCAUAUGCAGCCAUGAAUAAAAUCUGUGCAACACCACAACAUUUUAUUUUGUUUAUAAAAUUUGCUUCUCAAAUAAGCAAGCAAAAGGAGCUUGAUGCAUCUGGCAGUUCGAAAAAUGGAUGGGGUCAGGGUUUAAGGAAAGCUGUGAAUAACUGGUAUUUAUCAAAAACUCCAAUGGAAUUAGCAAAAUGUGUCACAAGAUACAAAGGCAGAUAUGGUUGGAAGCAUAAAGAUAUUAUAAAGUUGUCUCAUCCCGUGCCGAACAAUCCUGGAGGAGAAGUUGUUCUUAAAUACAUAGUGCGUGGUUUGGAAGAAAUUGAGAAAGCAUAUGCAGAAGAUUCCAGAUUCACAGAGAUAAUACAGUACAUUAAAAAUGUAGAGGACUUUAAACAUUGCACAGAUGAAAUUCGAGCAGCUGGUCUUCUAGAAAUGCAUAAAUUAACAUUAGACCAUAUACCUGGGCACUUGCUGAAAUCUAAAGAAGUUUGGAAUGCAUUAAUACCAUCAAUGAACUUAAAUUUACUUUUAACUAACCUACAGAGAAUUCACAAUCUUGAAUUACUGAAACCAAACUCGUUAACAGUUUCGAAAGUAGUAGAUCAAAUCAUUAAAGAAGAAGCUAGAGACAAGGUUCAUCCAGCUUUAGUAUUAAUUACGAUAAGGGAUUAUGAAAACUCUGGAAAGCCCCUAACAUACGAGAAAAGAAAGAUCAAAGAACAAUUUCAGAAACCUUUACCAUCUCCGCCCAAGCCAAAUUCGAAAAUUAUCGAUGCUCUCUACAAACUGUUGAAUCUUUCAUUUAAUCACGUUCAACCGACUGGUUUACGUUACAUGGUAACGAUUAAUAUGAAUAAAGUGAUGUUAGAAACGCAUACUUGGCGCAGUGGCAAUGUGAACGGUGCAGAAGCAGGAUGCAUGAUCGCACUUGCUCUUCUUCGCAGCGAGAAGAAUGUUACCGUUGCAACAUUUAAAAACGUUGGAAUUCAUGCUGUCAGCAUUGACAAAACUGCUUCCUUUGGCCAGGCCAUGAGGAGAUUGCAGCAGAUGCCCGUUGGAAAUGUGAAUUUGGGUAAACCGAUGUCGUGGGCUGCUCAUCAAAAUAACAAGUACGACGUGUUCAUUAAUGUCGUAGACCGAAUAUUCGAGAAAUCUGAUACUUCCGAAGAAGCUCUCCAGGCAUACAGAUUAAAGAUGAAACUUCCAAAUACAAAGUUGAUUAAUUGUGCUGUAUGCUCCUCAUCGACUAAUUACAAGGAAAAACGGGACAAUAAUGUUUUAACGAUUAACGGCUUCGACGCCAGCGUUCCUGUAGUUAUACAGGCUUUCGCAAAGUCGUUAUUCUAAUUGCUGCAGUAUAGCAGUUCUUUCUUUAACAAGCAGUACUAGCUAAUUGAUUACCAUGCUUUUAAAACGACCGUAACUCGAUUAUUUAAAAUUUUCUAUGAGAUCGUCAAUUAAGGAAAGUCUCGAAACAUUGAAAUUAUUGCAAUCUGGUUUGAGGAGAAAAGAAGUAGUUUUCAGUAAUCUUUAAAUGUUGCUAGUCUAAUUACUGAUACAGUAAUCAAGGCAUGCAAUAGUUUAGCACAGUUCUAUAAACUGUUUUAUAGUUAAGAGUAAAAUGAUCCUCAUAGUUUCAUUUCCGAAUCUCGAUUACUAAAAAGGAAUGACCGUUAGACGAUAACAUUUGAAAUUUUAAAGAGCAACAGCGUUUACAAAACAGUGCCGAGGAAAUUGUUUGGGCCUCAAAAAACUUUCUUCCGUAUUACUGUCUAUAAUGACGUUACAUUCAGUUUUAGUACAAAGUCAUAAACAUAAGAAACUACGUUCUCGAUGCUUUUUUUUCUUUUUUUUACAUGUGUUUGAUACGCGAGAAAGAAUAUGCUGGCACUGAAUAAUUAUUCAGUACUAACUUAUAUUAUUAUAAUUAUCUCAUAUUAAUACUAACACAUCAAUAUUAUUCAAUAAUAUUAAACUGCAUAUUUUUAGCUUUUAGGGUGAGCUGUGUAGCCUUCGACGAUGGUAAAACUUCAUUUGUGUUCUAUAGAGGGUGGUCCAAUGAAUUUUUGUAAAUAUUUAUUUAAACGAGCGGCACACACCGAUGAUCAAGCGAAUCAAUAAUUGAAAAGUAAAUAAAUGUGAUACGUCUGUGAUGAAUCAUUUGAUUAGAUAAAGGGAGAACGUUUCAAGUAACUACGGACCACUUGGUAUCAUUUACAAACAGCGCAUGAAAUUUUAUUUGUUGAAUAAACAAACAAACAAAAAAACGGAAAAAACGGAACGGGAAAACACGACACAGUAUCCAGGGAGAUGAUGAUGAUGAUGAUGAUGAUGAUGAUGAUGAUGAUGAUGAUGAUGAUGAUGAUAGCUCUAAUUCUUUUUUCUCGAUCCUUGAAUUACCAUUAUUGAAAAACCUUUUUGGUUUCCAAAGCGAGAAGCAAGCUCUCUUCGAGACACAAGUCGCUAAAAAGUAACUGCGUGGAUGGAAUUCUCAGGUCUGACAAACGUUUAAAUUAAGUGCUUAAUGUUCACGUGUUCUUUGCAGCCUGCUCGGUAAUUCAUGGAUCGAUUUGCUAUUGCGUACACAGGCACACACACGUACACACAUACAGGCGUUCAUUUUUAACAAAGAAAAAUCCUCGUACAGGCGUACGUACGAAACGUGUGAGACACUUUAGUUUCUCGGAAAACGGUAAAAGAGAAAAAAAAGCAGAAUAACACUUAAAUAGAAUCAUGUUUUACUAGCGUAAGGGACGCUAAAGCGUCACGUGUGCGCGUUGCUAGAGAAAAUAUAGCUGGCGGAAGCGACACGGUGAACUUUAACCCUUCGCGGUCCGAAUUGCUCUUGGUCUCUCAGUUUGAGGUUCGCGUCGAUUGAAACUAUUGAACUAUUGAAUACAUUGUUAAUUCGUAUCCAUAUGUGGAUAUUUAUUAAUUUUGUACUGCAUAGAUUUUGUUGUAAUCAUGAACAAAAAUUCGAAGUGCUGUUGGUUUCUCAAUUUGAGGUUCGAGAAUAUUUUUCUCGACAAAUAUUCAUUAUAUUCUGAUGAAAUAUCAAUGGUACGUUUUACAACUAACAUAAAUAAAUACCUUGCAUAAAUUAACACGUUGAACGCCGCACGACUUCAUAGGGCAAAAUACAUAAAAUGGAAAAAAUACAAUAUUAAAUCAUUCGAGUGAAUUGGAUUAUCGUUGCACGUUCGUCAAACUGAAUGUCACCGCAAUGGGUAGCAUUAUUUAUAAUGUAGAAACGUCUGCGAAAAAUUUAAUAUCGAAUUCUAAAUUGUAUCAUUUCCAUGGGUCAAAUCAAAUGACUGAAAGGCGCCUCCCGAGUUCAAA